Cyprinus carpio carpio is the source of this 460-nucleotide long non-coding RNA. NCBI's taxonomy places the organism in Eukaryota, Metazoa, Chordata, Actinopteri, Cypriniformes, Cyprinidae. The record is from Ensembl.
GUACAGAGUUUCAUAUAAAUACAUGCAAGUAUGUGUGAGCUAUGGUUCAAGAUUUCUGACUGUGUUCCAGGGGGCGCCAUAGAGCCCCUGUGCCACGCCCGGGUCCCAGCCUCUGCGGCGUCCUGAUGGCCGCAGGUUCCAAUGUGUGUGCCAAUUUUCAAGAGUUUUUGAGUAUGUUAAGGCCCCUAAAAACCCCCGGAAGGUUUAAAAAAAAAAUAAAAAAAAUAAUAAUAAAUAUAGCUGCAAGCAGCGAUGGCGGGCCCGAGCCGUCAGCGCAAACGCCACCCCGGUGGCAUCAGGAAAAGCUGUGCCCAGCGGCACAUACACAGUAACCCGUCUAGCUCAGGGGUGUCCAACUCUGUUAAUGGCGAUCGACUGUCCUGUAAAGUUUAGCUCCAACCCUACUCAAACACACCUGAACCAACUAAUGAAUGUCUUCAGGAUUGCUUGAAAAUUAAAG